CAGCAGCAGCCACGGUAAUACGAAGGGUGCAAGCGUUAAUCGGAAUUACUGGGCGUAAAGCGUGCGUAGGCGGUUUGUUAAGUCUGUUGUGAAAUCCCCGGGCUCAACCUGGGAAUGGCAAUGGAUACUGGCAAGCUAGAGUGUGUCAGAGGAUGGUGGAAUUCCCGGUGUAGCGGUGAAAUGCGUAGAGAUCGGGAGGAACAUCAGUGGCGAAGGCGGCCAUCUGGGACAACACUGACGCUGAGGCACGAAAGCGUGGGGGGCAAACAGGAUUAGAUACCCGAGUAGUCCCUGUCUCUUAUAC
RNAcentral lists this ribosomal RNA (304 nucleotides) under uncultured bacterium. RNAcentral's name for it is "partial 16S ribosomal RNA". It matches the Rfam family "Bacterial small subunit ribosomal RNA", at positions 506 to 807 of the family's 1533-position model. The record is from RNAcentral.